CUGGUUUGUUGAAUGUUUUCAACCAUGUUAUAUAUCCUGUUGGAUCCUCAUUGCAACCCGGGGGACAGGUUUUCCUUGGCUUGUUCCUUAGACAGAGAGAAUUGAGGCACAGAAAUCCUGCAGGGCUGGGUCCUACCACAAUGGGAUGUCUUCACAAGUCUGGGGUGAAGACACAGACCCAUGGGGCCUUUGGACUGCGGGACGCCUUCCUUGCAGACAGGAGCCGGGCCUGGCCGCUGCCACAUGUCCUGACAUCUCAUGAGCUGACGCUGCCCGUGAUUCUUGGCAGCCCAUAGAGACCCCAUGGUCUCUGGGAGCCUGAGAUGGUUUGAAGACAGCAGUCCUGCUUGUGUGCAACCAGAAACCAACCCAUACCCUAAGCCCUGCCUUAUUAUCUGUGCCAAUUUUUUCUUUUGUUUUUUCAAGACAGGAUCUUACUCUCUUACCCAGGCCAGAGUGCAGUUGUGUGAUCUCGACUCACUGCAACCUCCACCUCCUAGGUUCAGGUGAUUUUCCUGCCUCAGCCUCCUGAGUACAGGUGCGCACCGUUACACCUAAUUUUUGUAUUUUAGUAAAGACAGGGUUUCGCCAUAUUGGCCAGGCUGGUCUCAAACUCCUGACCUCAAGUGAUCCGCCUGCCUUGGACUCUCAAAGUGCUAGGAUUACAGGCAUGAGCCACCAUGUUUUCUCACUACAAAUGAACUUUGUGGGGGUUUUUUUUUUCUUGUUAUGAAAGUGAUUCCUGAUCAUUUCAGAAAAUUUUGUUAAAAUUAUGCCUAUAAUCUGGGCACAUAAUUGCUUUUAAGGAAGCCAACUGUGUCUGCAACGACAGAUGGCACCAGUUGCUGAGGUGGUCUGGGGGCACCAACAGGAGGCGCCACAGCACCCCGGGGCUCCUGCAGACCUUUUUGGACAUGGACACAGACAGGAGGGAGUGGAGCUGGGCCCUGGCUGCUGGGAUGUGCAGUUUAAAACAAUAAGAUCAUACUCUACAUGUCAUUUUGUAACUUGACUUUCUUUACUUAACUAGCAUAAAUCUGUAUCUAUAUCAUCACAUAUAUGUUUUUUUUUUAAAUUAAUUAUUUUUAAAGACAAGGUCUGUUUCUGUUGCCCAGGCUGGAGUGCAGUGGUGUGAACUUGGCUCACUGCAACCUCCACCUCCAGGGCUCAAGUGAUCUUCCUGCCUCAGCCUCCUGAGUAGCUGGGACUACCGACACGCACUACCACGCCUAGUUAAUUUUUGUAUUUUUUUUUUGUAGAGAUGGGGUUUCUCCAUGUUGUCCGGGCUGGUCUUGAACUCCUGGGCUCAAGCAAUCUGCCAGCAUUGGCCUCCCAGAAAGUUAGGAUUGCAGGCGUAAGCCACGGCGCCUGGAGAUCACAUGCAUUUUGUUCUUUAUUGACCAUGCAUGGAUCUGCUGUAAUUUUAACAAAUCCCCUCUAGUUGGGCAUGUGAACUUUUACUCCUGUUUCCCUGCAUGUUGGCAUUUUCGUGCCGGGUCCUAGUGAAAUCUGCAGCUGACUACAGUUUUCCCCCUGCAUGGACACCUUUCUUACUGUGUCUUUGCCUGUAGUUUGGUUCUUUGUGGGAGAUGGUUGCUCCCUUCAGUGGCAGGAGAUGAUCUGGGACUUGGUACCUCCCAAGCUCACUUGGCACCCUGUACAGCACAGGUGCCAAACAACUGUGAGUGGCAAGUGGAGUUUUGUUUCUGCCUCUGUCCCUAUGAUAUAACAGGUCCUUGUCAGUGGCUUUGACCCCUGUCUGUGGCUCUGUGUGGCUGGUUCUGAGCUCGUGCCUGUCGCCAGCCCAGGUCUUACCUGCCUCUCAGUGUGGGCUCAUGGCUCUGGACUCUGCAGACAGUGUCCCAGGGUUUUCCUCCUUUAGUGGUCUUGCAGAUUUAGGAUGUCAGCAGGAUCUUAGAAAUUCCUUGCCUUGCAGUUGCAAUGAGUCGAGAUCACGCCACUGCACUCCAGGCUGGGCCACAGAGAGCAAGACUCUGUCUCAAAAAAAAAAAAGAAAAGAAAAAGAAGAAAUUUUGUGACCUGACUUAAAAUGAGGAUUAUGUCUAAACUUAGAUCAUAAAGUGACUUCCAGGGCUGUUGUGGUGGAAUCUAAAGGACAUUCUGAGAGUUGUGUUGGGAGAGGAGAGCCACGAGGCAGGACAUGUGCAUUUCUUGCUCCCUCCUUUGUGCUUGGCCUGGUGCAUCCAGUGUGGUCCAGGCACGCUGCAGCUCCAGCAGCUCUGUGAGGCGGGAGCGUCAUCUCGUCUGUCCUUAGUGCCAGUCCAG
Molecule: long non-coding RNA, 2286 nt
Filed under: Homo sapiens (human)
Lineage: Eukaryota; Metazoa; Chordata; Mammalia; Primates; Hominidae
Description: HSALNT0152158
Source: RNAcentral